UACAGAGGGGGCCAGCGUUAUUCGGAAUUAUUGGGCGUAAAGGGCGCGUAGGCGGCCAUGCGUGUCUUCCGUGAAAUCCCUCGGCUUAACCGGGGAACUGCGUCUGAUACUGGAUGGCUUGAGUUCGGGAGAGGGAUGCGGAAUUCCAGGUGUAGCGGUGAAAUGCGUAGAUAUCUGGAGGAACACCGGUGGCGAAGGCGGCAUCCUGGACCGACACUGACACUGAGGAGCGAAAGCCAGGGGAGCAAACGGG
This 253-nucleotide ribosomal RNA is filed under the name uncultured bacterium. RNAcentral's name for it is "partial 16S ribosomal RNA". It matches the Rfam family "Bacterial small subunit ribosomal RNA", at positions 524 to 776 of the family's 1533-position model. The record is from RNAcentral.